GUUGUACUCCAUCCGUCCCAAAAUUCUUGUCUUACAUUUGUAUAGAUAUGAAUGUAUCUAGUCACAUUUUAGUAUUUAGAUACAUUCAUUUGUAGACAAAUCUAAGACAAGAAUUUUAGGACGGAUGGAGUAUUAG
This 136-nucleotide microRNA precursor is filed under the name Hordeum vulgare. RNAcentral describes it as "microRNA MIR1122". It matches the Rfam family "MIR1120/MIR1122 microRNA precursor family". The record is from RNAcentral. Lineage: Eukaryota; Viridiplantae; Streptophyta; Magnoliopsida; Poales; Poaceae.